UGGAGAGUUUGAUCCUGGCUCAGGACGAACGCUGGCGGCGUGCUUAACACAUGCAAGUCGAACGGAAAGGCCCUUUCGGGGGUACUCGAGUGGCGAACGGGUGAGUAACACGUGGGUGAUCUGCCCUGCACUUUGGGAUAAGCCUGGGAAACUGGGUCUAAUACCGGAUAGGACUACGCGAUGCAUGUCGUGUGGUGGAAAGCUUUUGCGGUGUGGGAUGGGCCCGCGGCCUAUCAGCUUGUUGGUGGGGUGAUGGCCUACCAAGGCGACGACGGGUAGCCGGCCUGAGAGGGUGACCGGCCACACUGGGACUGAGAUACGGCCCAGACUCCUACGGGAGGCAGCAGUGGGGAAUAUUGCACAAUGGGCGCAAGCCUGAUGCAGCGACGCCGCGUGAGGGAUGACGGCCUUCGGGUUGUAAACCUCUUUCAGCUCCGACGAAGCGCAAGUGACGGUAGGGGUAGAAGAAGGACCGGCCAACUACGUGCCAGCAGCCGCGGUA
RNAcentral lists this ribosomal RNA (502 nucleotides) under Mycolicibacterium gadium. RNAcentral's name for it is "bacterial SSU rRNA". It matches the Rfam family "Bacterial small subunit ribosomal RNA", at positions 1 to 522 of the family's 1533-position model. Lineage: Bacteria; Bacillati; Actinomycetota; Actinomycetes; Mycobacteriales; Mycobacteriaceae. The record is from RNAcentral.